UGGGGAAUUUUGGACAAUGGGGGAAACCCUGAUCCAGCCAUCCCGCGUGUGCGAUGAAGGCCUUCGGGUUGUAAAGCACUUUUGGCAGGAAAGAAACGUCGCGGGUUAAUACCCCGCGGAACUGACGGUACCUGCAGAAUAAGCACCGGCUAACUACGUGCCAGCAGCCGCGGUAAUACGUAGGGUGCAAGCGUUANNCAUCGGAAUUACUGGGCGUAAAGCGUGCGCAGGCGGUUCGGAAAGAAAGAUGUGAAGCACCGAUUAACUUUGGAACUGCAUUUUUAACUACCGGGCUAGAGUGUGUCAGAGGGAGGUGGAAUUCCGCGUGUAGCAGUGAAAUGCGUAGAUAUGCGGAGGAACACCGAUGGCGAAGGCAGCCUCCUGGGAUAACACUGACGCUCAUGCACGAAAGCGUGGGGAGCAAAACAGGAUUAGAUACCCUGGUAGUCCACGCCCUAAACGAUGUCAACUAGCUGUUGGGGUCUUCGGACCUUGGUAGCGCAGCUAACGCGUGAAGUUGACCGCCUGGGGAGUACGGUCGCAAGAUUAAAA
Molecule: ribosomal RNA, 552 nt
Filed under: uncultured bacterium
Lineage: Bacteria
Description: partial 16S ribosomal RNA
Rfam family: Bacterial small subunit ribosomal RNA
Source: RNAcentral